UACGUAGGGCGUAAGCGUUGUCCGGAAUUAUUGGGCGUAAAGAGCUCGUAGGCGGCUUGUCACGUCGGGUGUGAAAGCCCGGGGCUUAACCCCGGGUCUGCAUUCGAUACGGGCUAGCUAGAGUGUGGUAGGGGAGAUCGGAAUUCCUGGUGUAGCGGUGAAAUGCGCAGAUAUCAGGAGGAACACCGGUGGCGAAGGCGGGUCUCUGGGCCGUAACUGACGCUGAGGAGCGAAAGCGUGGGGAGCGAACAGG
This 253-nucleotide ribosomal RNA is filed under the name uncultured bacterium. Its description in RNAcentral is "partial 16S ribosomal RNA". It matches the Rfam family "Bacterial small subunit ribosomal RNA", at positions 524 to 776 of the family's 1533-position model. The record is from RNAcentral.